CCUACGGGGGGCAGCAGUGGGGAAUAUUGGGCAAUGGAGGCAACUCUGACCCAGCAACGCCGCGUGAAUGAUGAAGGCCUUCGGAUUGUAAAGUUCUGUGAUGGGGGAUGAACACAAUGACGGUACCCCAAUAGCAAGCCACGGCUAACUACGUGCCAGCAGCCGCGGUGAUACGUAGGUGGCACGCGUUAUCCGGAAUGACUGGGCGUAAAGGGCGCGUAGGCGGUUUAGUAAGUUAGCGGUGUAAUUCCGGGGCUCAACCUCGGCGCUACCGCCGAAACUAUUAGACUAGAGUGCAGGAGAGGUGAGUAGAAUUCCUGGUGUAGCGGUGGAAUGCGUAGAUAUUAGGAGGAACACCAGGGGCGAAGGCGACUUCCUGGACUGUAACUGACGCUGAGGCGCGAAAGCGUGGGGAGCAAACAGGAUUAGAUACCCCGGUAGUC
Molecule: ribosomal RNA, 443 nt
Filed under: uncultured bacterium
Lineage: Bacteria
Description: partial 16S ribosomal RNA
Rfam family: Bacterial small subunit ribosomal RNA
Source: RNAcentral